UAGAGUUUGAUCCUGGCUCAGGACGAACGCUGGCGGCGUGCUUAACACAUGCAAGUCGAACGGAAAGGCCCGCUUGCGGGUACUCGAGUGGCGAACGGGUGAGUAACACGUGGGCAACCUGCCCUCAGCUCUGGGAUAACUCCGGGAAACCGGUGCUAAUACUGGAUAUCAACUUUUGCCCGCAUGGGUGGUUGUUGAAAGUUUUUCGGCUGGGGAUGGGCCCGCGGCCUAUCAGCUUGUUGGUGGGGUAAUGGGCCUACCAAGGCGACGACGGGUAGCCGGCCUGAGAGGGCGACCGGCCACACUGGGACUGAGACACGGCCCAGACUCCUACGGGAGGCAGCAGUGGGGAAUAUUGCGCAAUGGGCGGAAGCCUGACGCAGCGACGCCGCGUGAGGGAUGACGGCCUUCGGGUUGUAAACCUCUUUCAGCUCUGACGAAGCGAGAGUGACGGUAGGAGCAGAAGAAGCACCGGCCAACUACGUG
RNAcentral lists this ribosomal RNA (486 nucleotides) under uncultured Nakamurella sp. Its description in RNAcentral is "bacterial SSU rRNA". It matches the Rfam family "Bacterial small subunit ribosomal RNA", at positions 1 to 507 of the family's 1533-position model. The record is from RNAcentral. Lineage: Bacteria; Bacillati; Actinomycetota; Actinomycetes; Nakamurellales; Nakamurellaceae.